UUGGGUGGUCAAACAUACCACAAUGAUCGUCCAGGCUCAGCUCCUCUGGCUGGUAGUGCCCUGGAUCCAGGGCUCCAGUGGACAAGCUGUGCUGACUCAGACUCCAGCAUCCCUGUCCCUGUUUCCAGGAGACAGGGUCACCAUCAACUGCAGAGCCAGUUCCAGCAUUAAAGCCACAUCAGAAGUUAGCUACUUAAACUGGUACCAACAGAAACCAGGGCAGGCUCCUAAGCUCCUUAUCCGCUAUGCCUCCAGUCGUCCCUCUGGGAUCCCAGAUCGGUUCAGUGGCAGUGGGUCUGGCACCGACUUCACUUUCACUAUCAGCCGGGUUGAAGCUGGAGAUGCUGCAAAUUAUUACUGUCAGCAGAGCUUUCAAAACACGUUCACAGUGAUGCAGACCCAUACAAAAACCUCCAACCUGAGGCUAAAGUCCAAGUUGCUGUCAUAA
Alligator sinensis (Chinese alligator) is the source of this 448-nucleotide non-coding RNA. The record is from the annotation of a RefSeq genome assembly. NCBI's taxonomy places the organism in Eukaryota, Metazoa, Chordata, Crocodylia, Alligatoridae.